This 423-nucleotide ribosomal RNA is filed under the name uncultured bacterium. RNAcentral describes it as "bacterial SSU rRNA". It matches the Rfam family "Bacterial small subunit ribosomal RNA", at positions 207 to 622 of the family's 1533-position model. The record is from RNAcentral.
AAGACCUUACGCUUUUGGAGCGGCCGAUGCCUGAUUAGCUUGUUGGUAAGGUAAAGGCUUACCAAGGCUUCGAUCAGUAGCUGGUCUGAGAGGACGGCCAGCCACACUGGGACUGAGACACGGCCCAGACUCCUACGGGAGGCAGCAGUGGGGAAUUUUGGACAAUGGGGGAAACCCUGAUCCAGCCAUGCCGCGUGAGUGAAGAAGGCCUUCGGGUUGUAAAGCUCUUUCAGCCGGAACGAAACGGUUACGGAUAAUACCCGUGACUACUGACGGUACCGGAAGAAGAAGCACCGGCUAACUACGUGCCAGCAGCCGCGGUAAUACGUAGGGUGCGAGCGUUAAUCGGAAUUACUGGGCGUAAAGCGUGCGCAGGUGGUUUUGUAAGUCAGAUGUGAAAGCCCCGGGCUCAACCUGGGAACU